Canis lupus familiaris (dog) is the source of this 1667-nucleotide long non-coding RNA. RefSeq lists it as uncharacterized. NCBI's taxonomy places the organism in Eukaryota, Metazoa, Chordata, Mammalia, Carnivora, Canidae. The record is from RefSeq and is a predicted model, not a curated record. The transcript has 5 exons.
GAAGUGUAGUUCCGGUGUCACGCUGGACCGCAGGCUGUAUAUCUAGUUGCUGGAGUAUCCAGAGGAUGGUGCCCAGGAACGUGGAAUUAUCCUGUCAGCUCGUCCACAUCUCCAAGUGGAUUCGGUUGGGUCCGGGUCCAUAUCCAUAUUUGCAGGAAAGGCUCAUGCACCUCACCCUAAGGAUACUAGUGGUGAUGGGUUUUACAGGCUCCUGCUGCCCUGCCCUUAACCUGAGGUCCCAGGGAGGAUCAGGGGAAGGGGUAGGGAAAUCCUCAGCCCUGCUCUCAGGUCCAGUGAUCCUAAUGCUGGUCCCUCCUCAUGAGCAGGGGAAGGAGUUCUCCGUGGUGGUCCAGCCUUGACCCUGUGCUCAAACAAUUUCACUCUCCUUGGCUUGAAUCCUAGGUUCAGCUUUGGCCACAAGCUCUACCCAGCCAGCAUCAGCACAUCACAGCUGUGGGCUCCUCCCCUGCUGUGGUUGCUGGCCUCCAGAAUCGCCCAUAUAAGUCUUGUCUCCUGGUAGUCACAUCUUUGUGUAGUACUCCCAAAUUGAGUAGGGCUGAUUUGUGUAACAAAAAUAAUAUUGUGGAUAUACUGGUGUAUGAAUUCUGAAGCUAACUCAUGAAACACAUUGACUGAAGCUUCAGCCUUGCUGUCUUGGAUCACUUACUCUGGGGGAAGCCAACACCACAUCUUAAGUGUACCUGAAUAAUCUGUGGACAGUUCCACGUGGCAAGAAACUUUGGCCACCUGCCUACAGCGAGCACCAACUUGCCAGCCACGAAAGGAUUGAUCUUGAUUGUGGAACCCCCCAGCCCUCAGUGACAUUUUAACUGCAAACGUAUGUGAGAUCUCAAGCCAGAGCAACAGAAGAAUAGCCAACAUGAGGAAAGCCAGCCCCUGUGUCAUGAAAACCCUCAAGAAGCCCUACUGAGAAGUCCACACAGUGAAGAACUGAGGCUCCCUGCCAACAGCCAGCAUGCACUUGCCAACCAUUAGUGAACCAUCUUGGAAGUGAGUCCUCCAGCCCCCGUCAAGCCUUCAGAAAAUCAACUCCUUUGCUUGGGACCACCCAGAACUGGAAGGAGGGAGCCUUCAGGAAGACCUGGCUACUGCCCUUGACCCCUGGUCUCUUCUUCUGAUGGCGGUGGGGGUGAGCUAUGAGGGGAGGAGUCUACAGAGGUGCAUGACUGCCCCAACCUCCCUAUCCUGGGUAGAAAUGUGGCCACCCUGUGGGUCUGCCACACACAUGAAACGAGUCCUUAAGCAUCAGGGCCAGGGCAUGAUGGUGAGAGGCAGGCAGGUCUCCAGGCAGUUCCUGCGUUCACCUGCCUUUCCACGAGUCCUAUGGGCCUGAACACUUUAGGCUAGGAGAACCCAGGCAGCACCUCCAACACUUCCUGAAAAUGGCCUUAGCCAGAUCCAUGAAAUUUAUCCGGUAUAUCUACUGUUUUCCACUUUGCAAGGUGACAGUUUUGCUACAUGUUCUACUACUACAUAAUAAAGAUGCCUUUUCCUCCAGCUUCCAAUUACACAUUCUUUGCUUUGCUUCAAGUCCUGAGCUGUCGCAUCUACAAGGUCCAUCACACUUCUGCCUACUGCUCAAUCCCCAACUCAAUAUCAUGUGUCUUCUCUCUCCUGUGUUAAGGGAGCACUCUGGGUCAGCCUGG